This 121-nucleotide ribosomal RNA is filed under the name Sphaerisporangium viridialbum. The record is from RNAcentral. Lineage: Bacteria; Bacillati; Actinomycetota; Actinomycetes; Streptosporangiales; Streptosporangiaceae.
GUUACGGCGGUCAUAGCGGAAGGGAAACACCCGGUUACAUUCCGAACCCGGAAGUUAAGCUUUCCAGCGCCGAUGGUACUGCACCGGGGACGGUGUGGGAGAGUAGGACACCGCCGGACAA